UGAACGCUGGCGGCAUGCCUUACACAUGCAAGUCGACCGGCAGCACGGGUGCUUGCACCUGGUGGCGAGUGGCGAACGGGUGAGUAAUACAUCGGAACAUGUCCUGUAGUGGGGGAUAGCCCGGCGAAAGCCGGAUUAAUACCGCAUACGAUCUACGGAUGAAAGCGGGGGACCUUCGGGCCUCGCGCUAUAGGGUUGGCCGAUGGCUGAUUAGCUAGUUGGUGGGGUAAAGGCCUACCAAGGCGACGAUCAGUAGCUGGUCUGAGAGGACGACCAGCCACACUGGGACUGAGACACGGCCCAGACUCCUACGGGAGGCAGCAGUGGGGAAUUUUGGACGAUGGGCGAAAGCCUGAUCCAGCAAUGCCGCGUGUGUGAAGAAGGCCUUCGGGUUGUAAAGCACUUUUGUCCGGAAAGAAAUCCUUGGCCCUAAUACGGUCGGGGGAUGACGGUACCGGAAGAAUAAGCACCGGCUAACUACGUG
This 484-nucleotide ribosomal RNA is filed under the name uncultured bacterium. Its description in RNAcentral is "partial 16S ribosomal RNA". It matches the Rfam family "Bacterial small subunit ribosomal RNA", at positions 30 to 507 of the family's 1533-position model. The record is from RNAcentral.